Molecule: long non-coding RNA, 370 nt
Organism: Bubalus bubalis (water buffalo)
Lineage: Eukaryota; Metazoa; Chordata; Mammalia; Artiodactyla; Bovidae
Exons: 2
Source: RefSeq, a predicted model, not a curated record
UAAUAAGUCUAAGCGCUGCUAAGUUUGGGAAGCCUCAUCAGCUAAUUGGAGAUAUCCAGACUGGACCCUGCGGAGAAGGCAAUGGCAACCCACUCCAGUACUCUUUCCUGGCAAAUCCCAUGGACGGAGGAGCCUGGUGGGCUGCAGUCCAUGGGGUCGCUAGGAGUCGGACACGACUGAAGCGACUUAGCAGCAGCAGCAGCAGACUGGACCCUGAGUCAAGAGCUCCGAGGACGUUCCCCCACCCCCACCCAACGGCUGGAGUCAGAACGGGACUUCCCUGAUGGUCCAGAGGUUGGGAAUUUGCCUUGCAGUGUGGGGGCCAUGGGUUUGAUCCUUGGUCAAGGUACUAAGAUCCCACAUGCCACAG